UACAAUAUCGCUGAAGGGUUUCACCAUAUGUCCAUCAAACCAGUCUCUCUUAAGAAUUCCGUAAGGAGACGUGAAGUUUCUUUGCGGGCUAUAACUGAUCCCUCGGGAAAUACAAGGUGUUGCAGGUACGCAUGCGGAAGGUCCUUUCUUUGCAGAUUCUCCAGGAGAGCGUCCCUUUCAUUUUGGAAUUUCGGGCACGAUCACAGAAAGCGUUCAAUAUCUCCUGCUCUCGUCGCAUGCCGUACAGUUCGGAGAAUUGAUUCUCCCCGUCUUAAAUAACCAGGCCGGUGUACUAGCAGAUCCUGUCCUUAAUCGAUAUAGAAGUAAAGCUUCCUCUCGGUGCAAUCUCUUAGGUUACGCAGGGUAUAUGUGGUGGAACCCAAAGCGACCCAAAGUGAUUUCGAAUGUCAGAAUUUUCACUUGAUUACUCUUUGGAGCCUUGACUUUUGGAGGAUGAUAGAGCGCUGCGUAUGCAAGCGCAUCAGCUUUUUCGUUGCCAGAAAUACUAAUGAGGAAGGGAAUCUACUGAAACUUUACUAUGAAGCUUGUUGUUGAAUUCUUUCACGAGGGCUAGUGAUUUGCGUGGGAACUUGAUGGAUGACAGACCACGGUAUAGUCGUCGUAACGCGGCCUUUGAGUCCGUAAGGACAACCACAUUCUGCGGAGGCAAAGUCUAUAGUUUUCGCAGAGCAGAAGCUAUUGCUACGCCUUCCACAGUCGACGAGGUUAUACAGUCCAGACGGCCAGACCACGUAUAUCUCAGAGACGGAAUAUAGAAUGCAGCUGCGCAGCGGUCUUCGUCUACUUUGACAGAGCCAUCUGUGUAUACUUGUAGGUGGUUCGGGUAAGUGGUGUUCAAAUGUUCCAGGACUAGUGACUUGGCUUCUGCCGAUGGAAUGCAGCUCUUUGACUGCAGUUGUGGUACACUUAAGUUGCAUGGGAUGACCUCGAAUGUCCAUGGGCGGUUCUAUCUUUUCCCUCUCUCUCGAGCAGCGCAAUCCCAAGGCGCGAAGCGGGUUCAGUGCUGCAUAAAAAUGUGGGCACCCGCCGUGGUUGCUCAGUGGCUAUGGUGUUGGGCUGCUGAGCACGAGGUCGCGGGAUCGAAUCCCGGCCACGGCGGCCGCAUUUCGAUGGGGGCGAAAUGCGAAAACACCCGUGUACUUAGAUUUAGGUACACGUUAAAGAACCCCAGGCAGUCCAAAUUUCCGGAGUCCCCCACUGCGGCGUGCCUCAUAAUCAGAUCGUGGUUUUGGCACGUAAAACCCCAUAAUUUAAAAAUGUGAGCGCGGCCUGUUACCUAUACGUCUUAAGAGGGCUUUGCCGGGCGUAGACUCACUCAAUCGUAGUAGCUGGGUCAUGAGAGUCUGGGAAGCCUGAAGUCGCAGAGGGCGUGACUCAGCUUCGUAGAGCACUUUCUUGUUCGAUGCCGGCUGAAGGACUCCAAGGAACAGUCGAAUACCUUUUCAGUGGAUGGUUUCUAAGUGCUAGUAUUGGCUAUCUGAGGGUGACAUUAGAGAUAGCUGGUAUAGGAUCCGACUGGUAACCAACGCUGUAUGUAGCCGUAGCAUCGACAUAGGGUGGUUGCCCCAGCGUAUGCCAGCGACUCGCUUGAGCACAUGUAUACCCUCUGUGAUGAUGACGCCACAACGUGGUCAACAGCGCGGCGCCAGAGUAGCCUGUGGUCCAAGGUGACGCCAAGAAAUCGGACGUUGGUGACUUGUCGAUUCUGGUAUCCGUCUAUAUUCAGCUUCAAGUGUGUAGAUUUUCUUUUCACUCCAGGAAAUAGUACGAAUGAUGAUUUAUCUGCUGAUAGUGAUAAUCCAAGCGUUGCCAAGUGGCCCUGAAUGGCAUUUACUGCGCCCUGGGCUAUUCGUGCGAGGCGGCGAUGCUGGUAGCCGGAGACCCAUAUGCAGAUAUCAUCGGCAUAUAUAGAUAUCUUCACUAGUGUUCGAUGGUUUAGUAUUCCUGGGAGGCUAGCCAUGGCGAUGUUAAAUAAUAAGGAGAAAUAAACACUUCCCUGUGGCACGCGGCAAAAUAUACCCAUUUCAUCGCUCAAUCAAUCAAUCGCUCAAUAAUAAAUAAAUAAAUAAAUAAAUAAAUAACUAAAUAAAUAAAUAAAUCAAUAAAUAAAUAGUGCAGUCCGUAUGUCAAAUGAAUGGACCUGCACACUUGCCGUGAGCGUAACGUGGUUAUCACAUCGAAGCGCACUGUUUACGCCUGCGUAUCCUUCGGUAAGAGCUGUUAAGCGUUCUUCUCGCUUCACUGCAGUUUACUCGUCUCAGAAGUUCUACACCGCAGUGUUCUUCGAUCUUCGCUCGAAGGUUUAUUGAUUGAUUGGUUGUGUUCAACAACCCAAAGUAGCGUAUAGGUGCUGUGAGAGAUGCCGUAGUGGAGGGCUCUAUAUUAAUUUUGACCGCCUUGAGUUCUGUAGCGUGCACCGGAAGUCUCAUCACACGAGUGUUUUCGCAUUUCGCUCUCAUCAUAACGCGACCGUCGCAGCCGGGACUCGAAUCCGCAACCUCGUGGUCGUAGAAAGCCAUAGCCACUGUGUCACCGCGGCGGGUGUAGCUUUACAAGCACGAAGAACGAGUAGGGUAGAUAAACGGGGCCGUGGCAUUCGCGCGGCGCAUCUCAAGUGGGAACUGUUUAUUUGAGGCUCGGCGAGUUCUUUGCGCUUACCACGUGCCGUCGAACCGUGUAGUAGACGAAAGGGUAACGAGAUAAGCUUGCUCCUUAUCGCGAAUCGAGCCAAGUGGAUGACUCAGUUGACGCGCGUUUUGAGUGCGUGAGCGUUUGGUUCUUUCGCGGUAUGGUCGUAAGGACGCCUUUCGAGAACAGUCGGGUUGUAAACAGAGCCACUUCAUAUUUACGAUAGCAGGAUUGCAUGUAUAGGCUUGCAUGGAUCAGUGUCGAGGAGCGGCUCCAGCUUCGAGCGUGAACAGUCUGCACAGUUCGCCGAGUCCGCUUCGUUCUUGCUUUGGCUAACGAGCCUACACAAUACGUGUUAUUUAUUGAGCGACGAAAUUCGCCGGAAACAUACUGCCGAAGAGCUGGCUAUUCGUACAGCAUCGAUAAAACCGUUAGUGAGAAAGUAACGGAAAUCGGAAAAAUGACGGGCUGACAUGAUCCUAUAAAUAGAAAUUGCAUAAGUGCUUCAGUAUAUUUUGCAUAAAAGGGUUAACAGGAAAAGAAAGGCUGCGUACACGGUUUGCAAUCUCGUGCAACUGCAUGCGAGUACAAUUGAACUCCCGACACACGUUGGUCCAGUCAUCUUAAAAAAAAAAAGAAGAAAAAACCGCAUCGCUGUACGAUCGUAUUGUGUCAGCAAUGGAACCUGAAUACAUUCGAUCAGCCACUGAUACCUGAUAAGGCUGUAAGGUUUAUUAGUAACGAAAUACUAACCUAUUCCACGGUGAUGCGCCCGUAACUUUGGAUGUGCCAGACUGUUUAUACGUUAUGGGAGUGUGUGGACUGUUCGGUGUGUGUGUGUGUGUUGUCGUCGCAUCCAUCUAGAGUUUAGCAAUAUGCUAUAAGCGAGCUACCUAGCAAACUUCUCCAGCCUCUAGCUACACUUCUGUUAUGAUUCUUACUACUAAAAUCAAACUUUGGCGAACGUUUUUACCGUUGUAACUCUACAGCACACGGUGAGCAAGGUAACGUCGUUUGCGCUAAGCUCUUCGCUCGCGGUUAAAUUCGUCCGCCGCGCAACAUCGCUCGCGCGAGGGGCGCUCGCUCGCUCGCCACUGCACUCUUGUAUAUGCCUAGAUGGCUUGGUCGGGCCAGAAGCUAUUUGUGGCCGCUUCACGUAAACUGUGCCCGUAAGACCCAUUGCGUGUGGGCUUGAGUCUUGUCUAUUUGUGUCCACUUUCACGUAAACACUGCGCAGCCGGCGUUGCUCGUUACCAAAUUUGCCCGAGUGAGGAAUGGGAAGGGGGUUGCAGCAGAGCUGGAGCGGCAAGGAAGCGGCUAGCCGCAGUCGCCGAUAAACUCUAUUUCUUGAGCGCUCUGCAUGGCAAAGCACCGUUAAGGAAAAAGAGAGAGAGAGAAAAAAAAGCGCACUCACCUUUCCUGCUGUCCGUUCCUGCUUCCGUUACGUCCCCUUGCGUAACUUCCGCGGAACGUUGUGCUGGACAGCCGCUUUGCAUAUAUUUGCACUCUGUACAUGUAAGACGCGUAACGCGUAUGAUGCCAGAGGUUAGUGACCGAAUAUGGCUAGAUUGUCGGUCGUACAAGAAGUGUGCGUCAGCGAUUUGAUUGCAUAGCGUUGCCCACAUCGAUGGCCCUAUAGCUGUGGAGCAUCUGCUUGCCUGAGCGUGAAGUCGUGGGUUCGCGGUUUAUAGAAGACGCCCGCGGUGCUGAUUAUUUCGGUGCAGACAAAGGAACGCAGGGUGAUCAAAACUCUUCCAGCACAUAUGUUUCUCGAACUGAUAUAUUCAGUUGAGCGCUUUGGUCUUUGACGUAAAGAAGCUGUCUUACCUCUUGCCUCCUCGUAUUUGCUACAUCACUAGCCUAAUAAUGGCGGCUUUCAAAGCUUAAGGGUUGCACUGAACAGCAACAGUAAAACCGUUUAGACUUGAUUGUUCUAGCCAUAUAUGCAUUGCCUGAAGCAAUGUGCAGUUGGGAGCCGGGUGCGCUAAAGACUGCUCUUGCGCAGCUUUGGCGCUGCAAGGUUUUCUGCAUCAAGCAGCCUCUGAGAGCGGUGGCAUCUGUGCACGUGUUUCGGAGGCCACAGCAGCUGCAUUACUGUAGCGGGCGAAUACGACGUCGUGUCCAUCGCAAAAAGGUGUUCAGAAGAUGGCACUGUCCCGUUAAUGCGAGAGGCUGUUACUGUCGCAGUGAAGAAGGUCACAGCCAGAGGAAUCGCUGAAGACCUGCUGAUAUUACGCGAAGUCCCCAAUGUGAUGAAGCGCUCAAAUACUCGCUGUCAUUGAAAGAGACCGCACUGGCGAAUGUGCGACUAAAGCGAUGGUGAAAACUGCAGAGUCACGGCUCCUGGCAAGGCCGUAUCGUCCACGAAGCUCAGAAACGAAACCGUGAGACCCCAUUUUUCAAAGCCUGUCCCGGGGGCUCUCGUGUGAAAUUGCCUGUAUACCGUCACGCGAUGGGAACGUUGGCAGUUGGUGGCAAGCAAAUGCGAACGCGAGGAGCUCGUUCCGGAGGAUGGAAAGGGUCGACAAUGAGAGAGAGAGAGAGAGAUAGUAGCGUUGCGUACGAGCGAUUGAAGAGUGCUUGCAGCAGUCGUUCUUGAAAUCGCCAUGAUAAUUGACCCGACCUCGUGGGAAUAUCUAGAGAGCUGUGGUACGCGCGUUUCCGACCGUGCAAUGGUGCGCCGGUAGCCACGAAAACUUUGUAUCAUCCCAUUUCUCUCUCUCUUUAGACUUAAGGCACAACACGACAGUUCUAUGUGACGAGUGCUCAUAGCCGAUCCACACCUAUUGGCGGAUCUCUCGUCCUACAAAGCCCUGCGGAUCACGUGUCUCGGGUCGGGACGGCGACAUCAGUUUAUCGCGCCUGUGUGCGCGCGCGUUCUUGCAUGCGUGCGUGCACUGUAUGUAAUCGUCUAACUUGAAAUUCCUUCUGCGUUCGCUUGAGACCCGUAUUUUUUUAUUAAUUGUAUUUGGCGUUUUUCUCUAUUCGUCCUUUGAUUGUCUGUUUGUAAUGGUCACGCUUGUGUACUCAGACUGCAUGCACUACACGCCAAAGAAUAAGUAGUCAGAAAUUAAUUCGGAGCCCUCUCACUCCCAAGACACUCUUUUUGUACGCGGACUGCAGUGCACGUCAAGGAACACCAAGUGGUCAGAAAUUAUUAGAGUCCUCCACUUCGGCGCCCCCUUGUGUAGUAAGGUGUAACUUUGGGACAUAAAAAGCUAUCCGCAACUCAAGCCCCAUUGGACCGUACGUCAAGUACGUACAGUUACUUUCAGCACGUGCACACAACAUCGUUAACAUAUCCAUGGUGCACCGCAGGUCGUGUUAUCUUGUACUCAAAACAGCGCACCUGCGGCACUAAGCACUUAAACACAGACAUACGGUGUACUUAUUACUUUUCUUCCCAGAGUCAAGAUUGCCAUACCGUUGAUAUGUUUGUUUUUACCGCGCAAGGUGGUCUCUCCGUCUUCCUUAGAUAGAGCUGGUGCCUUAGACUUUACAUUAUGCAGCACGCAAGGCUCAUUUUGACGUGCAUUCUAAUGUCGGUGUAACAGUACAUCACUUUCUCUUUGAAGUUCGCGCCAGUGUAAUUACGCGGCCUGCGAAACGUCCGGAGCCGCACCUUCGACCUUAGCGCUCCCCAGCAAAACGCGCAGCUUAACCGUUGCACCAUGCACUCGAGGGAGCUCAUUGACACACUUGGGUGCGAGGCAAGGCUUCUAAUAAGCGAAACUCCUACAUGGGCGUUUCAUGUCCUUGCCGAUCUCUUAGCUUUGGCUACGUGUGCCGGCCGGGCCUGCCAUAUCGAACGAUCGUUACCGUUUAGCGUUCCGGUCGCAGAGUUCAUAAGCGCCCACUCCUAACCCUUACUGCGAGCUGUGAUUACAAGGCUGGAGAGAAGAGUUAAUGGAAAACGUGUGGUACUUAAGAACUGUGAGACAGCGCGAAUGCAGUGGACCAAAUGAAAGACGCUCGCACAACUUAGCUGCUGCUUGAGCGUUUUAUUUUUUUAAUGGUUUCGCUUUCAUUAGAGCAGCCGUUCCAAAUAUCGCAAUAAUCAAGAUGAAAUCAUCAGCAUCAGCGUAAUUAAACUCACUGCGGAAUAAAGGCCUCCCGCCAGAUAUGUUCAGUCACCAGUCUCCCGUCCUCGCUAAAAGUUGCGUAUACCAUGCACGAGUCAAAUUUUUGAUCUCGUGAUAUCAUCUUAUCUUGUGACGCCUCCGACUUCAUUUCCCGCUCCCUGGUAAUCCAUUUCUGCUACACUUAUUGGCCACCGGCUAUCUGCUCCACGCAUUGUACCGGGUACUACUUAGUAGCCAAGCCUGCGAGACACUGCUCUCAACAAUUUGCUCUGCAUGAUUAGCCUUUGGUGUGCCCGACUGUGUAAGUACGUUCUGUGAGUGAGGUGUGUUCGGUGUGGUAUUUUCUUCGCAUCCAUAUAGUGUAGCGUGCUGCAUUAAAAAGUAUUUCUUUGUCUUAUUAGCGUUGAACGAACCUAUUAUUAGUAUUAUUUAUUUCUGUUACCUUCAGGGCCAGUGGCAUUAUAGAGGGGAGAGGUACUACACACGUAGAAGCACAUAAUUACAGGUACAUAGCUGAUAUAUUCCUGUUAAUACAAUAUUAGCUAGAGUAAUACAAAGGCAGGAAUGACUAAGAAGGAACAAAAUGCUUAACAAGUUAAGACAGCGGUAACUAACAGUCGACGCCACUGAUUCGCAGAGGCGGUUCCAGUCCUGUGACGUCAUGGGUAUAAAGGAUUGGGAGCAUGUUUGCGUUAGCCCCGACACCAUUCCCACCUUUUGUGCACGGUCAAAAGCGAGAUAUACGUCGGAGGAAGAAUAAGGCCAUUUCGCAGAAUGGGGUUGUAUAUAUUUUACGAAACAAGCACGGACGAGCAUAUUUGCGACGGAAGACGAAGAAAGUACGGCUGUCAAGAUUAUUUCAUUAAUAGUUAUGCUGGCGGUGCGAUUGUAGUUGCGGGGAAUAAAGCGAAUAUAAUUAUUUUAGACUAGCUCGAGGGCAGAAGUUAAUAUAUCGGUGCUGGGUUCCCAGAUCGUCGCAGCAUAUUCGAGUUUACCACGGGCUGACGUUUUGUACAGAAGGAGCUUUAAUGAACCAGGAGCGGAAGAGAAGUUAGGACGGAGAUACCCUAAAGGAGUGUUUAGCGUUGGUAAUUAUUUUGCUGAUGUGCAAACACCAGCUAAGAGAACAAGUUAUGCGAACACCGAGGUAGCUGUAUGACGUAACUGAUUCAAGAGUGGAGCUCUGUAGAAAGUAAGAAACAGGCGGGGUAGUAUAGCACGGGAAACACGUAAUACCUUAACUUUAGUGGUGUGAAGUUCCAUCUUCUAUAGGUUACACGAGUUAGAUACAGCGUUAAUGUCAUUUUGAAGUGUGUUAACGACAUUUUGGUUAUUAAUUUCACGGAAAACUACACUGUAAUUAGCGAACAAAGGAACGUUAGAGGAAACAGUGCCUCAAGGCAUUAAUGUAAUCUCUUCUCGUUUUCAAAGUUUGUGACAAGAUCGUAUAUCAACGAGAUUCCGCUGCGCUACACUGCGUUCUGCUGCCGCGGCGGCCGGAUGCUAGUGUGGCAGGAACGCCCGCGCAUUGAAAUUUUUUAACUUCAAGUGGUCAGAAAUUAUCUAGAGGGCAUAAAUCGCUAUGUCUCACUGGGUUGUAAAUAAAGACAGUGCGAUAAUGAACAGGGCGGAUACUAAGGAAGCCAAAUGCCAUUACGGCAAUAUUCUGGACAUAAAACGCCUUCAGUUGUGAUGAAGAUGACAAAACUUCAUUGCUAAAAAAGAAUUGUAGAGAUGACUGCUGACUUGGACGGCCGGGAGCCCAUGAGCGCCGGCGGCCUCCGCGGCCCAGGGCACCGCCCUGUGAUAACCUAAAAAUUCAGUAUGAGCUCCGCAUGCAAAACCGCAAUGCAUCUGCCUCCGCGCUCCAAAACAUAGUACCCGAGAGACGCCGAUAUUGAAAGUUCGCCUCAGCCGUGACGUCACGGAUGAACGAACGCGUAAUUGGCUGAUGUGUCUAUAUUAAUCUCCUUUGAGUUGGACAGCACUGUAUUUGUUACUGCAUUCUUAGGCUGUAGAUCACUUCGAGUUGCGAGUGACGCGCUUUUCUAUUGAUUCGACACGCUUGGCCUUCAGUCCGCAGGGCAGUGGUAUGUAGAGGCUAUCGUCUCAACGAGUCGGGCGCGGGGCGCGCAAGACGUCGCUCUGACGCGCUCCGUUGCCGCCGAAGCGCGUUUCAGCGUAUACGUUCUCGCUCGCUGCAGGUUUCGUUUCUAUUUUGGGUUGGCGCUGUACACGGUCGCGUGCGUUUGAUUCUCGGUUUCUUCUUCAGCUCGCUCGCCCGCACCUAUCGAAGUAGCACGUGCGGUGUUUCUAUCUCGUCGGCGACGUCGCUUAGCCAAUUCGAGUUCCCUCAGCCGCGGCGAGGUAUGCAGGCGAGGGAGGUGUGCAUCGCGUCGGCUCUUGCGCGUGUCCAAGCACUAUACGAGAAACUGGUCUCGAAAGGCAGCGGUGUGACGCAAUGGACAGAUUUCACGAGAAGUUUCACCACCAAGCCGCCGCCGGUGGCUCUGUAACUUUCUUCAGCGGCAACCGUAUGGGACAUAUUUCCGGCGCACUUUCGGCGUGCCGUCACCCCGGGGUUGGUGCGAUCGUUUCGCGAUGUUCUGAGAACGCUUCCGGGGAAAAAUGUGUGUUUAUGUGUUUACAUAUCGAAGGGCAAAUAUCUCACGGUGCGCACUCCGGUUGCGAUAACGUCGUGGUUAUCGCACCUCGUUAAGCGGAUGCGCCGAAAUCGGUCGACGUAUUUCCGAAAACACAACCGAAGUAAUACGUUCGAUGUUACUGCUGCAGUAACCAUUAAGUGCAAGGGUGGAAAUGGUGGUUGGAGACGCCCGGCUCAUCGAGUGAUCGAGUGAGUGAGUGAGUGAGUUGUUUUAAUAAGCGAAAGUAGGCUUACAGGUACAGUACACCGACGUCGCUCGGCCUGUACGUCGGUGCCUGUCGAAAGACUUGUUUUGUAUCAUUAUGCGUGUCAUCGCGGUGGAAAUACAGCAAUGUAUCAUUUCAUCGUUUCCCGAAUAAAGCAGACGACGCGGACCGGAGAGCGACAUGUAUAAUAAACUUGCGCAUUGGCCAAAUGGUACUGAAACUUCGAAACAUUUUUCUCGGGACGACUUCUUUCUUCCUGGUGAGUAAACCAUUGCUUUCUUCUUAUAUAUUUGAACUAUCAUGCGGGCGUUUCCAGUCGCGAAGUUUACUUUCGUUUAACAAAGCGAUGAAUUGGGUUGGUGUACCUUCAUUUCGUUUAGGCAGGUGUUUUAACAAAUUAUAUUGAACUCCGCUUAAGCUUCAUUUGGUUUUGUUAGUUUAGUUCUCUGCUUAGUAUUGCUAAUGUUUUAAGCAGCAGGAAUAUUCUCGCUAAUCUACUUUUGUCUGAAGGCACGAUAGCAGAACGAUAUCUAUAACUCGGGAAGGCCUGAACUUGAGCAUGACACAUGUUAUGUGCCGCGAGGUGACAUAUCGUCUUGAUACAUGCUUUAGUUUAUCGGUGUAAGCAGAAAGAUGCUGUCUUUUCAUUCAACGCGGUGAUUUGUCAGUUUAUUUGCUCGCAAGAAAUUUAGAUGCAACUGCACACGUCACUCGUUCCAGCUUUGGAGCAUUCGACCUGCGCACGGGGCCGCUAGUUUGCUUUCCGGCACUGUACCAACAGCUAAAUGCCCAUUACAACUGGUUCAGUUCGUUUCCAAGUCAUGUGUUUAUACUAAUACAAGUGACUGCUCAAACUGAAACCUUCGCUAAAUUUCAGAAAACUGAUGGAAGAAACGCAAGUUGAUCGAUCGGUUGUUAUUCACUUCUCGUGUUUCACCGGGGUUCGCGGUUGUCUGCUGUGUUUCCAAGCCCGGGUAUUAUUUACCUCGAACUUCGAGCACGAACAAGCGCUAGGCACCGGACGCAAACGACCUUAUCACAAUUAAGGAUCAGCUAACUAAAGAGACAGAUGCAACCCGACUCACAAACGGAACUCUCUUUUUUUUUUUUAUCCCAAGAAACACGGACCAGGUAACUUUAAAGUCUUUAGCGUCGUUCGAUCAGUGCGCUACAUGCGUAUUUAGCUCCUAAAAACACGACAGACGUUACUGCCAAUAUAUAUUGGGGUACACUGCAACACUAGUCACAGUGCGGAGUUGCCUGUGUAGGUCGAAAGUUCUUGAGACCGAUCAAAAUAAUGUGAUCGGCAGCAAGGACACUUUCAAAAGCUUGGACGAAUUACGUCGAUUCCAUGCCACAAACGAGAAACUUGAGCACAUCACCAAGCGAAAGAGCCGCCGUGACCUUGGAUGUCGUAGCCAUCUUUAUUUGUUUGGAGAGUGUUGCCAGCACAAGGGACGGGUUCCGGAGUUACUAAUAAAACGAUUUCAGGAAUAGCGGUCGUAAAGAAGGGGGGGGGGGGGGGGGGGUACUUGGAGCACUCAGGGGUAUUCAGAACGUGCGGAAUCCAAAAUAUGCUUGGGUAUAAUUGUAUGCAGGGCCAGUAGCGGUGCGCCGACUUUCAGUAUUCCUAAAACUCCCUUGGAACAUUUUAGAGGGAGCAAUGAGGGGCCAGAUGGUAGUUUUGGAAAUGGCGCCCCCAAGCAGCUCAGCGUUCCGACGCUAAGCUGUAACUUGGGCUGUUACCUGAGCUCAGGUUACCUUGUAACCUGAGCUGUAAAGUAACAAAAAAAAAAAAAAAAAAACACUUGGUUUCUUUUUCGCUCUUCUUGCACUCAUUUAGACCGACAUCGUCCCCUAACCUUGGGUUCCGUAUUUCUAAAAUUUCCUAAUGUCUCGGUAAACACUCCGCGAAGACAUAUACGAUGUAGUGGCUGCUGACGGCUUCGAAAGGAUGUUGUUUAGAGGCACGGCUGGCAGCUUGGCAACAACCUGCACCGAAGCGUUACCCAUAUGCACGCGCACAGGCAGGUGCGUACUGAACCCGUAAUGAGCGAUUACCAAAAGCUCUUACGUCUUUCGCAGCACCCUGCCUAUGCUUUUGAGAUGUAGACGGCGCCGACUAAUUCCCUUCCCCCUCUGCCCCUAUUGUAAAUAUAGUUGAUUGAGUGGCGUCGGGCGUAGCGCAAAGGCUGUCGACGGGCGAAACAUUCGUUAUGGGAGAGCUGCAGAUGGUCACGCGUAAAAAGAAAAUAAUGUGCAGUUGCCUAAGCUAAGUUCAGCGAACACUUCCGUCAUGGCCCCCAUAUCAGAACGUGCUGCCGCUUGUCGCGUACGAUGACAGCAAACGCGCCAUCGUCUUACAGCGAAAGAAGAAACGUGAACGUGCAAACUCAAGGACUUCGGAGCGCGACGACGUAUCGUGCACUACAGCAAAAAUGAUACAGCUGGCACGUAGCGCUCGCCUUUGAGCGCUGCAGCGAUUUUCUGCCACAGCGUAGACGGAAACAAACAAGAAAAUGGGAAGGCCGUGGCCGAGGAAAGUCGUGCAACGUUUUCGUUCUGGACGACCGCCGCUUGCUCCGCGCAGUUCAUCCUUUCCGUGCUGCUAGCUAACGGUUGCGAGCGGUUUACUCGUGUUUCUUUUUUUUCCUGCUAUGGACCAAACCGCCGCUUUCUUUCGUUCUUCUGCGGCAAAGAAUGCGAAAACGGUGGUACGUGCUGCCUGGCGAAGAGCGACGCUCCGUUCCUCCUCGUUAAUUCGGUGCAGCAUUUCGCUUGCUGAACGGGUGCCAUACACGCUCGCUCUUGCCGAAUAAGAGUAAUGCAUAGUCCCGAGUUUUGCCACCUUUAACCAUUUUUUUUUUAUUGACGUAGUGUAACAGGAGAGGUUGGCGCCUUUUGGUGGCGCCGGCUAUACUCAUCGCCAGUUGGCAAACUAAAUGAAGUCGCAAAAUAUGACGAUUAAUGUCAGCAGCAUGAACACAAACAAUUUAACUAGCAAACCCAUGAGCUGUACUUGUUCUAGCAGUUUGUGAAAGUAUCUCCAUCACGGUGACCAAACCAUUUUACUGUGGCCAAAGCAUUUAACUCGCAAACCCAGAGCUGUACUCGUUCUAGCAGUUUGUGACAGUAUCGCCGUGACUGUGACCAAAUCCAGAGCUGUACUCGUUCUAGCAGUUCGUGACAGUAUUGCCGAAGAUGAUAUUGCUAGCUUUGGUCACUUGCGUUUUUCUGGCAUUGUAAUGGCUGACAGCCCUGCUUGCGACAACUGUGGCUGCGAGGAGACAAUCAAGCACCUCCUCUGUGACUGUCCCCGCUACAAUGUGGCAAGAAAAGUGCUCACGACUGCGCUUGAAAAACUAGACAGUCGCCCCCUCACAGAGGAAAAAGUUUUAGGACACUGGUCUAGACGGGCUUCGGCACUCAAGGCCUUAAGGGCUUUGCUGAAGUUCUUAAGGGCUUGUGAAUUGUGCGACCGGCUUUGAACGUUGUAGCGCGUAGGGUCGCGUUAUUGCGCGAAUUUUCUUACUUCACCUUUUUUUAAUUUGUUUCUUCUGUCACCUUUUAUUACCUUUACCCCUUUCCCCAGUACAGGGUAGCCAGCCAGUAUUUACACUUUCUAAUAUCCUUGUCUUUCUUUCCCUUUCUCUCUCUCUCUCUAUUUUUCUGCCUGCCGCGGUUGGUUCAGCGGCCAUGGUGUUUCGGUUCUGAGCGCAACGUCGAGGGUUACCCUGCCGGCCGACGCGGCUGCUUAUAGUUGAGGGCGGAAUGCGAAAGUGUUGGUGUUCCGGGCUUUGUGUGUGUAUAAAGAGACACUGAAGUGGACAUAAAAAUAGGCUGAUGAUGAUGAUAAAGAGACACUAAGGGCAAAUAUUAGGUGAAGCGAAAAUGAUAGAUUAGUGCUCGAGAACGUCAAAGGCGUCAAUAUUAUCGCGAACAGAGCUUUAGUAAUCGAGAAAUUGAGGCAAAUGCAGCACACGAUUAGAGACUCCCCCCCGGGACGUUCAAGUACUAGCCCGAUGACGAAGGCACUCCUCAUUAUAAUUCUGUCACUAGCACUCAACCACUCAUGAUAAAAAUAUAAUUGUAUUGAAUUAUAAGACGAAAGAAAAUGCUACUUGUCCAGUUUUAUUUGAUAUUUAGAAAAAGUCGGCAGUUUCGCCCAAAAGGCGAAGCAUCACUUGCGAUAGCAAAUUAGUGGAGAGCUAUACGGGAGUAAGGAUAGUAGUUUUAUCUGCUGUAUAAACUUGGGCACUUUCGCCUGCUACCUGAAUUAACAAGCAUGGUGUGAGUGCGCACAAGCAAACAUGGAUAGAUCAUACUCGAUGACCGCAGACAACCGCUGUAAAAGCGCUGGCAUGAGCAAUCGGGGAUGCAGUAGCGAGCGAAGGUUCGUGCGGUCUAUCGCUUCAACGGAAAUCGAGCGGCGAAAGCACAGCGCAUAUAAAGGUAGGAGCCGUGAGCAGAUGGCUUUUAAGAUACGGUGCGCGCCACCGCCCGCAGCCGCGCCAAGUACAGGUAUGCAGUUGCUUGCAGAGUAGGAGCCACACCCCCUCCCUCCCGCGCUGCCUUCCCGCUUUCCUCCUUUCGCGUGCGAGAUUGUGUCGCCAGUUGCCCUUGCACCCGGUUCAAGAUACGCAGUUGGUGCCGCAGCACAACGUCGCCUCCCCUCACUCCCUCCCUCCCAUCCCUCCACAGCCUUUCGCGUGACGGAAGACGUCGUGUUUGCUCUCCGCCGUGCGUUCGCUCUCCGUGAAAGCGCGCGUCCCUCGCGCGCUUUCACUCGCACAUACAACAUACGGCGCGCGGCGACGAUUUUAUCGCCCUUGAACUUUAUACGGAACCUCACGACGUGACCCUUGACAACGACGUGGGUGGUCGAAAGGUUUCGUUUUCUCUACUAUUUCUCGCCCGCACUUUCACGUUUCAGUAGUUUCGUUAUCCCGUAGUGCUGCGCUGGUUUUUCUGGCUCGCGAAACUAACACAAAUUGCAAGUAGCAGAAAAUGCCACGUCCAUGUGAUGUCGCGGUUUUCCCGAACGCUCCUCGUUAUUUGACCAAUAGUAGCUGCAGCUGUAAAUCUAACUCUCUGUCUUGGCUCGGUUUCUCCAUGGCCGCGCGCUUGCAUUUUACACAGGAAACCGUAGCGCUGUCUGUCGGGUGCCAUUUUACUCACAGACGGCAGUAAAGGGCGGUGAUGGCGUAUGCAACGUCACCACUCCCCGCUCUGAGGCGGGCGAUUUCAAUUGCCUAAAGGUAUGGGGACCUUCCCGACGCUAUUUUCCCGUAAACUAAAUGUUUACUUGGCCCGAAACAAGCCCUGCGAGGUUUCUGGAAUGGUAUUUUAACAUUCCACGUCGGACAUUGUAUGUGCCUUUAGUGUGCCUUUAAAGAACACCAGGCGGUCAAAAUGUAUCUGGAAUUCCUCGCUGCAGUGUCAUUUAUUGCCCUACUUUUGCUUUGGAAUGGUAAACUCAAUCAAUGAAGCGAUAAAUUACUUAUAUCUCCGUUUCCGGUCCACGCUUCCGUGACAUGGACUGUCGAGUUUUUAGGUCUCCUCUAUGCUUUUACUCGACCUGUUGCGACAGUUGAUGGAGUGCCGUGCGAGAGAGGACGCGUGUCUGUUGAUUGAUUGAUUGAUUGAUUGAUUGAUUGAAGUUUUAAUGUUUACGGCAACGCUUACCGAUGCCGGGGUUACAAACAACAGCAACAACAACAAAACAACAUCGACAAUGACGACGACGACGACGACAACGACAACGAAAACGACAACGACAACAACAACAACAACAGCAACAACAACAACAACAACAACAACAACAACAACAACAACAACAACAACAACAACAACAACAACAACAACAACAACAACAACAACAACAACAACAACAACAACAACAACAUCAAGGAAAGGCGCAAAUCCCUAUAUUAUGCAGAUUAUAUCGUGUGUAAACCGGGAGAAGCUUGAGAAGCGGGCUUCUCCUCACGAAGACUGUGAAUGCGGAGAAGCCUGAUUUGACGAAGGCGUUUUAGCGAGCUAUGCUCGCAUGAAGGGACAACUUUCGAGGCUCUUAGCAAGCACCAUUUACAGGCUUUCCAUUGAAAAAAAAAAAUGAAGAAAGAAGUCUUCGAUUAUCGAAACUUUUAAACGAAUACGAAUAUUAUAGAGAAGCGAUCUUCGACGAUCAGAUAAAAGAGCAAAAAAGAAAUGAAAAAGAGAUAGAGAGAAUGCAGAUUACAUUAUGAUAUAUAUAAUGCCGUUAAAAAUUGAACUUCUGGUCAACUGAGGAGAUUGUAAAUGAGAAACAACUGAAAGCUGAUCGUACCUGGCGCACCAUGAAACACGCGAAGAACACGCUACCAGAUACUGAAGAAGCAAAGUAUAACACUACGUCACCUCGCAUAGUUUUAAAGGGAUGCAACCACGAUGAGAUUGGUCAAAUAAUAAAUUACUUUCACUUAAUUCAGAAAACAAAUUUAUGGGCUGCACGGAGGCACGGAAUCCUUAUUGAGUGACCGGAAAUCAUUGAACAGAAGUUAGCACUCUGCAGCUGCUGCCUUUCCCCAGCCGAAUAAUUCGUAACAGCCCUCAUUCUCAUCUGGCUGUCUCCCUGUACACUGUCGUAAGCGUUGCUGUUCCUUGUAUUCGAUUCGAAACGAAUAUUCGGCAACUUCGAAUAGCGAAUUCUGGAAUCUAUUACGCAUCUAAUAGAAAGGACUAGUCGAUAUGUAAGAGAAAUUUCGAACAUUCGCGCAUCUCAACAAAGAGAUACCUUUAUGUUGAUCUGCAAUUGAACCCCGAACCACCGGAUUCCGAGAGAGGCGCUCCACCUAUUGAGUCUCAAGGUCGCAGCUACCAUGCAUGAGUAAUAUGAUUGUCUGGUUGAGCAUGCGCGCAUGCUGGGGAGCCAUAAUGCCAGUAACACGUUCCUUGCAACAAUGCGUUCAAUAAGCGUAUUUACAGUUUGUUGUUUCUAUUUAUAGUCCACUGACAACUUGUAGAACUGUAUAACCCUGAAACUACCCUAGAGGCAGUCUUGCAAGUAUGAAAUACUUGCAAAUAUGAAAGAUUUGCAAGUAUGGGGCGCUGACCUCAGAAGUGUGAAGCAAAGCAAGUGGUACCUGCAGCCUUAAACACAAACACACACACCAGUUUUAUUGCCAUGCUGAGCCGUACAGCACGAUGCCAGUGACCGUGUUCUCAGCCGCCUUGGGCCGUCAUUUUAGUCUGGCUUUCGAUCAUUCGAAUAUAGGGUUUGACCUGUACGCGAACGACUCUUUCUGUUAUUAAAGUUUAUCCGCUACAUUCUCUGCGAAAGAAACAAAAUCAAAAAGAAGUCAGCGGAUGAAUUAGAAGGCAGUGUUGAUCGGUGGCUGAAUGUAGUGUUUAAAUCUGUUCGUUAUUAUUAAUAGGCCGUCGGUGGUCGCUGAUUCUGCGUCGCUGCACUGAACUACCUACGCGUUUUCAUGCAUGAGUUGAUCCUGCGCUUACAGCGUGACACGAAGGGCGUGCCGGUAGCGUCGGCGCGCGAAGAAUUGUGAAUGCGAGACGCAUUUGUUAAGGAGCGUCUCCGCGUUUAGCAUAUCGGGACGUCCGUCGCGACCGUCGCCACUGCACUACCGGUCGCUCCUUUUUGCUGCUCUCCUUCCGACUGAUCCAACGACCGUAACGUACUUUAAAGGAAAGUCGUGUGACUGCUAGCCGAAAAAAAAAAAAAAGGAAGGGGGGGGGGGGGUUUACACGCCAGUCGCACGAUAUGUCUGUUGGAAACGCAUAAAUUCUUUUUUUGACAGUAAUGUGAUGUGCUUGGUGGAAAGUAGGCUUUACAACCACAAACUAAGCCGCGCGGAGUUGAAUGCUGCGCAGCUGUCGUAGCUGUAGGUAGCAGGCGUGUCUCUGUGUAUAAGCAACCGUGCCUUUAUUGACCAAUCAACGCACUCCCCAUUCGUAUACACCAUGCGCGCUGAGAAUUUCGAAGUCGAAAAAUGCCCGUGAGAAGAUAUUCACAGCCGAAAACAGCAAUAUUCGUAUAGAUUGCACCUGCACUGGGCAGUAAUAAUGGUUCAUUGACCUAGAAUAAAAAAGAAAAUAAUUGCUUACAAACCAGCGUCGCAGAGAACGAAAAAUAAAUGGCGGUUGCGGCGGGUGAACUUCAAUUUACUCGUUAAUCUGGGCGCGCACAAAGAUACUUACGCUGCUUUGCGUUGCUCUGCAGAGAUUGGACGCAGAAGAUGGCGCUUGGCGCGUCGACUGUGAUGACAUUUUGACGAUAUGCUUGAUCAAGUGCCUUGUUUACCGUAAUUAAUAUCGUUGCAAUAUUAUUGAGCGGGAUUGCGCUUCGCGAGCACGCCGUUUUUGACAGAAUAGAGAGUUCUGCCGAACUUCCCGAGUACUCAAACGUGAAUUACUACAAUCGUGUAUAGGAAACAAUAAUCGAGCCACUGUAAAUUGCCAGGCAUUACGAACCAAAGUGAUCUUUCAUCGAUCGAGUGACCGACAACCUACCGGAAAUCUUGUAAAAAUUUGGUUGCUUACUAUUUGAAGAAAUAUGCGAUUUCUGAUGAUGUAACGAAAAGACGUAUGUCUUGAGAAACAUCCUAAAUAGCAACGCUGAAUCACUGAAGACUGGUAAACUACUAUUUCAGAACUGUGUUGUCGUUUAUGUGUCAGUAGAAAGUUGAUUAUUGUCUGUUAAAAAUGUUGGUUGCAGAUUUCGCAUUCGUGAAUAUCGCCCCCUAAGCCGAAGUGCCAGUACGUCAGUUUGACGUCAUGGAUUUCGAAGUAUUUUCUCGUAUUCGCGCAGUUUCUGCGGAGAAAUAGUUCUUAGAUGUCUCACGGUUCAGUCUUUGGACACCCUGAGCUCACCCUGAGCUCACACGAACACAAAGAGACUUCCGGCAGGGACAUACCAACAUACUCCUCGCACCAUUCUGGUUUUUUAUUCACUUCUUUACCGGCUCUCACCGCCGACAAAUCUUCCUCUCUGCAUUCACUGUGACAGAUACAUCAACGCACCACAGCUCCCAGCCAACCAAGAAACCCUCUCUGAAGUGAGUGUCCAUCGCUCGCACCUAAUUCGAUCCGGGCAGAAUUCACUGAGAAAGCUCUCAAGCAUGCUUCCGGCGAAGCCCUGGACUAAGGGCCUAGCACAACGCCCAGCCUUUUCAACAAUAGAGUGUUUUCUUCUUUGGUACCGUCAGAAUGCGGUGACAUAAUUAUCAAUCAACAGUUCACUAGACCUGAGCAGGUGCUGUGAAAAUUCAUUACGUCACCUGUAGGUAGUGCUGGAACUUAACGGUGGCAUCACCAGCCGUCUCUUGGUAUCGCGGCCACCAAACCUCCGCUGUCGAUAACGAUUGACUCUUUCCGUAUUCGAGAAAUGUACGUAUUUCGGCGAUCGUGCUUAACUUUUCUGUACCCGAUUAGUGUCCCUUUCAAUGUGAUCACUUCGCACAGCGGAGCGUUUGUAACCCGGUGAGUGUUUCUUGACCUAGUUUCGAGGCCCCAGCAAUUCCAUGUGCACUAGAGUACGCGACAAAUGCUUCACACUCCUGCGUGCCGUGCUGUCGGACGUUUCCGGGGCACGUCCUUGGCGGCUCCUGCCACUCUAUGUGAACCGCGGGAGCAGCUGGGACUCCAUUGUUUUCGCUGGAAUUUCAGGCACAUUUUUUUUCCUGGCGCGUAUACCGCCCGUGUCGUUUCAAGGGCUCGAGAACUGCGUCCGAGCCGGCGGCAGUUAAGCGCUCUGCACUCUACGCUUGCUGAAAGGACGUGGAUGGGUUAAAAAAAAAAAAAGAAGGAUGUGUUUAUUCUGCGACACAGUUUCCUUGAGGUUUAUGCUGUGAACUGGUGACCUCGCACGUGACAUCGUAGGAAACAAGCUGAAUCUGCCCGCGCGAGAAAGAAUAAGGCCGGAGAGUGAGACUCUAGGGUCGGUUAUCAUGGUUUACAAUGCAGCGGCCUUCAUUCUCCAAGAAGGCGAAAGAGAUAGGUUCAUUAUGCAGUGAAAGCUGAGACGUCUGCUUGAAC
Molecule: long non-coding RNA, 19634 nt
Organism: Dermacentor silvarum
Lineage: Eukaryota; Metazoa; Arthropoda; Arachnida; Ixodida; Ixodidae
Exons: 3
Source: RefSeq, a predicted model, not a curated record